UAUAACAGUAAUAAUCCCCUGUCUUUGUGAACUAAAUCUUUGACUGCACAUUUCGAAACUAAUAAGGAUUCAACAGCGGCCUUUAUACUUGUAAGGCCACGUCGGCGCAUUUCCGGUAGUUUUCCUUGCGACUUGACGCAGCCAGAGAGGAGCAGUGACGUAGCGCUCCAGCACUGCGCCUCUCGCGCUGAUGCUGCAGUUGCUAGGGGCGCGAGGAGCAGACGGCGAGAAAAACAACUUCUCGGUGGGAAAUGUCUCCCUCUAGAGUCUGUCUUCUGGAAACCGAGGAGCGUUGUCGAUGGAAAAAAACCUGAAAAUAAAUGUAAACGCGGUUGCUUCAUUUUUAAAGAGGAAGAAAAGUGAAAAAGAAACUGUGGUGGACAUGGGAUUGAGGGUUGGACUGACAGACUUGGAGCGGUCCCAUAUGAGGAGCAGCUCUGCGAGGCGUUCCUCGGCGCACUGUGCUGUGAGACGGGCCUCUGCAUCCUGGUCCCAGCAGUCCUCCAUUGUCUCUUUCAGAGAGCGAACCGCCUGAAACGCACACAUUUAGGUCUAUACACACCAAGCUGUUCUCCUUCCAAGCCUCUGGGAAUUUGGGCCGUUGCUUCUCCCUGGAUACCAGGACCUGCAUGUCCUCA
Poeciliopsis prolifica (blackstripe livebearer) is the source of this 638-nucleotide long non-coding RNA. RefSeq lists it as uncharacterized. The record is from RefSeq and is a predicted model, not a curated record. NCBI's taxonomy places the organism in Eukaryota, Metazoa, Chordata, Actinopteri, Cyprinodontiformes, Poeciliidae. The transcript has 3 exons.